UGAAUUUUACUGUUGGAAACAGAAGAGUUACUUUAAGAAAGCUAUUUUGUUGAUCAGAUAAACUUUUUUGAGUAAUCUCAGUUUUAGAGGUGUUUUGCUAGUCCUAUACAAAAAGCACAAAAUGUGGGAUUCUUGCUUAUGGUUCAGAAAAUGUGUUUUUUUUGUUUGUGGAUUGUGAAUCUGUUUCUCCUAUGUUUUCCUAUAUUGAUCAUUGAGUUAUUUAAUUGCUUUUUAAUGUAUUAGAUGAAUAUAAUUGUAAUUUUUUCUUAAUUAGCUUAAAAGGUUUAUUAUAGGAGAAAUCUUUAUUAGUUGAUGAAACUGGUAAAGUUUGCCCAAACUUUUAAGGCCUAAGAUUUAUUUCCUGUCUCCUCAUUAUUGUAUGUGUUGAGCACGGGCUCUGAGGGCUCCCAAGCCAGCAGUUUCUUAGCCCAUUCUGAGAAAUCUGGAAGAGCUUUUAAUUUGUGGCCACUUACAGAGAUUUUCAGUUAUUUUGUAGAAUGUUCUUUUUUUCCAUGAGUACAUGGAAUUAUACAUGCUUGUGAAUGCUAGAAUACAAAUAUUGCUUCAGUUAAGUUGUGUAGACCUUUCAGCAAUUCAUAAGAAGAGAAGUAGACACUGGGUGAAGGUGAGGACUGUGG
This 638-nucleotide long non-coding RNA is filed under the name Bos taurus (domestic cattle). RNAcentral's name for it is "long non-coding RNA NONBTAT014822". Lineage: Eukaryota; Metazoa; Chordata; Mammalia; Artiodactyla; Bovidae. The record is from RNAcentral.